AGCGAACGCUGGCGGCAGGCCUAACACAUGCAAGUCGAACGAACUCUUCGGAGUUAGUGGCGGACGGGUGAGUAACACGUGGGAACGUGCCUUUUGGUUCGGAAUAACUCAGGGAAACUUGUGCUAAUACCGAAUGUGCCCUUCGGGGGAAAGAUUUAUCGCCAUUAGAGCGGCCCGCGUCUGAUUAGCUAGUUGGUGAGGUAACGGCUCACCAAGGCGACGAUCAGUAGCUGGUCUGAGAGGAUGACCAGCCACACUGGGACUGAGACACGGCCCAGACUCCUACGGGAAGCAGCAGUGGGGAAUCUUGCGCAUUGGGCGAAAGCCUGACGCAGCCAUGCCGCGUGAAUGAUGAAGGUCUUAGGAUUGUAAAAUUCUUUCACCGGGGACGAUAAUGACGGUACCCGGAGAAGAAGCCCCGGCUAACUUCGUG
RNAcentral lists this ribosomal RNA (433 nucleotides) under uncultured bacterium. Its description in RNAcentral is "partial 16S ribosomal RNA". It matches the Rfam family "Bacterial small subunit ribosomal RNA", at positions 29 to 507 of the family's 1533-position model. The record is from RNAcentral.